Molecule: ribosomal RNA, 253 nt
Filed under: uncultured bacterium
Lineage: Bacteria
Description: partial 16S ribosomal RNA
Rfam family: Bacterial small subunit ribosomal RNA
Source: RNAcentral
UACGAAGGGUGCAAACGUUAAUCGGAAUUACUGGGCGUAAAGUGUGCGCAGGCGGCCGCGCAAGUCGAGUGUGAAAGCCCCGGGCUUAACUUGGGAAUUGCGCUCGAAACUACGUGGCUGGAGUAUGGCAGAGGAAGGUGGAAUUCCACGUGUAGCGGUGAAAUGCGUAGAGAUGUGGAGGAACACCGAUGGCGAAGGCAGCCUUCUGGGCCAAUACUGACGCUCAUGCACGAAAGCGUGGGGAGCAAACAGG